Molecule: long non-coding RNA, 371 nt
Organism: Cyprinus carpio carpio
Lineage: Eukaryota; Metazoa; Chordata; Actinopteri; Cypriniformes; Cyprinidae
Source: Ensembl
GCUCAUAGUACGGCAGCGAUGGCACGUCCAAUCAAAAGACUUGGAUUCUAUUUGUUUCGUUUCAAGGGAUCAUGAUGAAGGUCUUCUUCAAGACCUCACUGAAGUGGACGGAUCGGGGAGAGCGUGCUUUCAUGACAAUGUCAUCGGCGGGACUUUUCCAUGUGAGCAGGACGUCUCUGCAUCUCAGAAGCAGCAGAAUUCAGAUCGACCGGCCCGUCAUCAUCAUCAUCAUCAUCAUCAGAAAACCAAACUCUGCAGUUCUGCAGUGAAACUCUGAACCGACGGGACGCUGAUAGAAACGGAUCAAGAACAUCAGGGUUUAGGGUGAGAAAACGUGAACAAAUCCCAUUGAACGGAAUGACCGUUUCUAC